This 518-nucleotide small RNA is filed under the name Pan troglodytes (chimpanzee). Its description in RNAcentral is "retained intron". Lineage: Eukaryota; Metazoa; Chordata; Mammalia; Primates; Hominidae. The record is from RNAcentral.
CUGGAGUUCCUGGGGUACUGCCCUCAGGAGAACGCGCUGUGGCCCAACCUGACAGUGAGGCAGCACCUGGAGGUGUACGCCGCCGUGAAAGGGCUCAGGAAAGGGGAUGCUGAGGUUGCCAUCACACGGUUAGUGGAUGCGCUCAAGCUGCAGGACCAGCUGAAGUCUCCCGUGAAGACCUUGUCAGAGGGAAUAAAGAGAAAGGUACGGGCAGGGCUUGGUGUUGCUCUGCAAGUGCCAUAGAUGGGAACCAGAUGGGCUGUUCCUCCCUUUGCAGCUGUGCUUUGUCCUGAGCAUACUGGGGAACCCGUCAGUGGUGCUUCUGGACGAGCCGUCGACCGGGAUGGACCCCGAGGGGCAGCAGCAAAUGUGGUGAGGAACAUUACCACGGUCAGGGACAGCACGGAUGACUUGCAUGGAGCCUGUGAACCAUUUUUCUUCUGUAAAAAUUGUCCCUUAAACUCUUUUAUGGAGAACAAAAAAACUAUCAAUGUCACUUGUAAAACCAAUACUUUGCA